UUCGUCCAUCGAGAAGAAAUCAACGACACCAGCGGCGUGCCAGCGGGAACGUCUCGUGAACGUCGGCUGCGGCGGUGUUCUUGUGUGUGAGAAAGACCGUGCUGAUGCCAUGCCGUCCGGCGGUCCAAGCUACGGCAGCUACUGCUGUGUGUCGUGGUGCUUUGACAACGGCAGAACCCAGAAGAAGCCUAUCUUGACUUGGAAUAAAAACAUUGCGGAAA
Molecule: long non-coding RNA, 221 nt
Filed under: Dermacentor andersoni
Lineage: Eukaryota; Metazoa; Arthropoda; Arachnida; Ixodida; Ixodidae
Description: uncharacterized LOC126528609
Source: RNAcentral